UUGGUCAGCUAAUAGAAUGUAAUUGUGGAACUCAUCACUGUGGAAAGAGCACCUAUAGGUCUAAGAGGUAGGUAACAAAGAAGAGAACAUAGAAAGAGAUCCAGAGAGGCAUUCCUAAUUACAUAAUACAACAUCUGAGUCAAGCUGCACCUGAAGGAGAGAGCAACUGAAUCAUUCUUCAAAUGUGAUUUCUUGGAAGGAAAGAUCAAAGACAUAAUGAAUAAUCUGCUUCACAGGAAGAAAGGUGUAUGAAACCUUAGCUUUUUCCAUGAAAACACUCCAUCGUGUACCAAGAUAAACAGCACAUACCUGUCGCCAAAGCCCCACCAUCACUACCACAAACUAAUCGUCCAUAGGAGCUCUGAAGAACAACCAUAGAACUUGGGUGUCCAACCGCCACUGUCAUAGCUAUCUAUAGAAAAGAGAGUGUGCCUAGGGCAAAUUCCAGUAUGAAGCAAGAAUGAACAUGUCAAAUCCAUUGCUGGGAAUACAGCAUACAGAACGUUUUUAUCAAACUGUGUAACCCCAUCCAUUAUAUUUUAACCACAUGGCAAAAGGAAUAAAAGUUAUUAAGGUAUCACCUUUUCUAAUAAAAAACAACCAGAUAAGCCCA
Ictidomys tridecemlineatus (thirteen-lined ground squirrel) is the source of this 613-nucleotide non-coding RNA. The record is from RefSeq and is a predicted model, not a curated record. Lineage: Eukaryota; Metazoa; Chordata; Mammalia; Rodentia; Sciuridae.